GGAAUAUUGGGCAAUGGGCGCAAGCCUUACCCAGCAAUACCGCGUGAGUGAAGAAGGUCUUCGGAUUGUAAAGCUCUUUGAUCAGGGACGAACAGAUGACGGUACCUGAAGAACAAGCCCCGGCUAACUACGUGCCAGCAGCCGCGGUAAAACGUAGGGGGCGAGCGUUGUCCGGAAUGACUGGGCGUAAAGGGUGCGUAGGCGGCAUAAUAAGUUAGAAGUGAAAUACCCAGAGCUUAACUCGGGUGCUGCUUCUAAGACUGUUGAGCUUGAGUGCGGGAGAGGUUAAUGGAAUUCCUAGUGUAGCGGUGGAAUGCGUAGAUAUUAGGAGGAACACCAGAGGCGAAGGCGAUUAACUGGACCGUAACUGACGCUGAGGCACGAAAGUGUGGGUAGCAAAC
Molecule: ribosomal RNA, 401 nt
Filed under: uncultured bacterium
Lineage: Bacteria
Description: bacterial SSU rRNA
Rfam family: Bacterial small subunit ribosomal RNA
Source: RNAcentral